RNAcentral lists this ribosomal RNA (402 nucleotides) under uncultured bacterium. RNAcentral describes it as "bacterial SSU rRNA". It matches the Rfam family "Bacterial small subunit ribosomal RNA", at positions 28 to 417 of the family's 1533-position model. The record is from RNAcentral.
GACGAACGCUGGCGGCGUGCUUAACACAUGCAAGUCGAACGAAGUCCAACCAGUGGCAACACUGGGGAAGACUUAGUGGCGAACGGGUGAGUAACACGUGAGAAACCUUCCCCGAAGACCGGGGUAAGCCCUCGAAAGGGGGUCGUAAUACCGGAUGUCCCCUCCCAUGUCGCAUGGCGAGGAGAGGAAAUGGUCAGCCGCUUCGGGACGGUCUCGCGGCCUAUCAGCUUGUUGGUGAGGUAACGGCUCACCAAGGCAGCGACGGGUAGCUGGUCUGAGAGGACGGAUCAGCCACACUGGGACUGAGACACGGCCCAGACUCCUACGGGAGGCAGCAGUGGGGAAGUCUUGCGCAAUGGGCGAAAGCCUGACGCAGCAACGCCGCGUGCGGGAUGAAGGCCU